This 1045-nucleotide long non-coding RNA is filed under the name Anas platyrhynchos platyrhynchos (common mallard). Its description in RNAcentral is "lncRNA (ENSAPLG00000026583.1)". Lineage: Eukaryota; Metazoa; Chordata; Aves; Anseriformes; Anatidae. The record is from RNAcentral.
AUGGUAUCCUGUCUGGCAAGGCAAUGCUUCAGCUGCUGUGUUGGGCCUGCUGGCUUUUACUGGAUUGUAAAGCAGGAAAGUCUCAGGAGCAGCCUACAAGGAAACCAAAACCCAGCGCUUGGUGGCUCCAAGUGGCCUACAAAACCUUACCGACCACUGUGGCAAGUAGCACUGUACAAACUUCAUCCAUACACUCCCAUGAGCAUGAAGACACUACAAGCAUGUAAGAAAACACUGGGGCUCUAAGGCCAUAAUCCUGGAAAUUCCUACAUAGAGGUCCUGUAUACAGGAUUACUUUGUUUCCCUGUACCCUGUGUAUGUUGUGACACAAAGCUCAGUUGGGUGGUCCCAUGAUGGCGUGUGCUGUGGUAUCUCUGACUUGGGAACCUUGGGGCCUGUAGGAGCUCCAGGAGCUGAAUGAGGUCCACUGGCAUGUGCUCUGCUCCUGGGUUGGACAGCAUCUGAUUUGCCUGUUGCAUUGCCUGCAAGUCCUUCAUGUCUCAGUCCUGUCUGUCUUGGAAGAUGCAGAGAGAACUUGCAGCCUCCAGACGCCGAGGAGAACCACACCAGAGCUGGAAAUUAAAAUGUCCACAGUGAAAACCAUCCACCUACGUAAUUUUUUUAAGGAAACUUAACUGGACUAAAAAAUGUACAUAAGAUAACUUGAAGACACAUGGAAAACAAAAUGCAGCCUCCUCCUGACCUGGAAACAGAGAAGAUUUCCAUCACUGGUAUGACCAGGCCUUUUUGUAGCUAAUUUCUCAUGAAACAGUUAGAUAUGGUCUAGUCACAGGAUACAAAUACACAAAUGUUACUUUUUGGAAUGCAUUCUUCUACCCUGGAUGGCUUGUACCAUGUUAUUUAACAUUAUUUCUGUUACGUUGUGAGCCUGUACUGUACUAAGCUGUAAGCAUUACUCAACUGUUGUCAAAUAGAAACAGUUUUGGGUGCUAACUUUAAAUGCCCAAGGAAAAUGAGUAAAGUAUAUAUACCUAAAAUACAUGAAUAAUUCCAAACAAUAAAUGAUUUUGUGUGUGUGUGUGCA